GACGAACGCUGGCGGCGUGCUUAACACAUGCGAGUCGAACGCUGAAGCUCAGCUUGCUGGGUGGUUGAGUGGCGAACGGGUGAGUAACACGUGAGUAACCUGCCCUCUUCUUUGGGAUAACGCCCGGAAACGGGUGCUAAUACUGGAUAUUCACUGAUUCUCGCAUGGGGGUUGGUGGAAAGGUUUUUUCUGGUGGGGGAUGGGCUCGCGGCCUAUCAGCUUGUUGGUGGGGUGAUGGCCUACCAAGGCUUUGACGGGUAGCCGGCCUGAGAGGGUGACCGGUCACAUUGGGACUGAGAUACGGCCCAGACUCCUACGGGAGGCAGCAGUGGGGAAUAGUGCACAAUGGGCGAAAGCCUGAUGCAGCGACGCCGCGUGAGGGAUGGAGGCCUUCGGGUUGUAAACCUCUUUCGCUCAUGGUCAAGCCGCAGCUUUGGGUUGUGGUGAGGGUAGUGGGUAAAGAAGCGCCGGCUAACUACGUG
This 482-nucleotide ribosomal RNA is filed under the name uncultured bacterium. Its description in RNAcentral is "partial 16S ribosomal RNA". It matches the Rfam family "Bacterial small subunit ribosomal RNA", at positions 28 to 507 of the family's 1533-position model. The record is from RNAcentral.